UAAACUGUACUGAAUACGGUAGCGUGUUCAACUAAACUGCUAAUUAAAUUGAAAUUUAAAAAUAUAUAAAGAAAAACGUUCAAAAUUCGGUUCAUUUUGUUUAAAAAGUUCAAAGAAUGGUAAAGUUUGCAAGUUUUCUUGUAGUUGUUUGUUCCAUUGCUUCUGUAACAGCUGUCAAAGUAACAAAACCAACAAUAAAACCAACAACAAAACAACUGUCUUCUGGUAACAAUUGUAUGAGCUCAUAUUAUAAAUGUGAAGCCUCAAGUUUUUCAAAUUGGCUUCAAAAUAUUGUCUGCGUAAUCAAACUUGGUGAUUGCUUAAACAAUGUUUGCUCUGCUGAAAAAUGUCUCAAAGAUUGGAAGAAUUGUGUUAUUAAAGUUCGAAAAUUCGAUGAUCUUAAAAUGUGUUGUAAUUCGCUGAAGAAAUGCAUCCCAGAUAAUUGUGCUUUAAAUUAAAAAAGUUUUAUUAACCAAUUGCCCACAUAUUACUACAAUUAUUUUUUUUAUUCAUUUUAUAUUCUUGUUACAUUCAGUUUAUAUUUUUGAGAACAUAAAAUAUAAAAAAGGAGUUCUUAUGAUUUCUUAUGGUUCAGUUUAUAUUCUUGUUAUAAUUAGUUUAUAUUUUUAAGAAUGUUAAAUGGGAUUAUUUUGUGAUAUAAAAAGAACUACAUUUUAUAGAGUUUUCACGUUAGUUAAA
This is a long non-coding RNA of Hydra vulgaris (swiftwater hydra), 699 nucleotides long. RefSeq lists it as uncharacterized. NCBI's taxonomy places the organism in Eukaryota, Metazoa, Cnidaria, Hydrozoa, Anthoathecata, Hydridae. The record is from RefSeq and is a predicted model, not a curated record.